Molecule: transfer RNA, 60 nt
Filed under: Pichia membranifaciens
Lineage: Eukaryota; Fungi; Ascomycota; Pichiomycetes; Pichiales; Pichiaceae
Source: Rfam by way of RNAcentral
GUUGGUUAAGGCGUGGUGCUAAUAACGCCAAGAUCAGCAGUUCGAUCCUGCUAGGGACCA